Oreochromis niloticus (Nile tilapia) is the source of this 4158-nucleotide RNA transcript. It is a transcript of the gene named phosphatidylinositol binding clathrin assembly protein b, with no coding region annotated. The record is from RefSeq and is a predicted model, not a curated record. The transcript has 23 exons. Lineage: Eukaryota; Metazoa; Chordata; Actinopteri; Cichliformes; Cichlidae.
GGCAGGCGGGCGGAGAGACGCAGGGAUCUGGUGUGCCACAUCGGGAUGAGAGCGAGGCUGAGAUCCGGGUCGAGUGAGUCAGCGAGUGGACCUUGCAAUCACGGCAUCCUUAAAAACUGACUGAUUCUGGACGGAGACGAGCGGCACAAUAUAUAAACUACCGAACAUUUUUUUUUUUUAUUGUUGUUGUCAUUUUUCGCUUGUCUUUAUUAUUCCGCCCUCCCUCGGUCUGCGCCUGCCAUAGCCUUAGUUCUGAUUUUCAUUUCCACCAAGGUGGGUGAAGCGGGGGGGUCCGGUGAGGUAGCGGUGUAGGAGGAGGUGGAGGGUUUAUUAAUUUUUUGCUGUUGUUGUUGUUUUCGUACGAGCUCAUAUCUGAAGGCAAACCCAGACGAGCCUCAUAAUUUGACAGCCUUUUGUUGCACUGACUGGAAGCGAAGAUGUCGGGGCAGAGCAUUACGGACAGGAUAACUGCAGCCCAGCACAGUGUAACGGGAUCCGCCGUGUCGAAAACAGUAUGCAAGGCCACCACGCACGAAAUAAUGGGCCCGAAAAAGAAACAUCUGGAUUAUUUGAUUCACUGCACCAACGAGAUGAACGUGAACAUUCCCCAACUGGCUGACUCGCUGUUUGAGAGGACCACCAACACCAGCUGGGUGGUUGUGUUUAAGUCCCUCAUCACUACACACCACCUCAUGGUCUACGGCAAUGAGCGUUUUGUCCAGUAUUUGGCUUCAAGGAAUACACUUUUCAACCUCAGUAACUUCUUGGACAAAAGUGGACUACAAGGCUAUGACAUGUCUACGUUCAUCAGGAGGUAUAGUCGAUACCUGAAUGAGAAAGCAGUAUCAUACAGACAGGUUGCCUUUGACUUCACAAAAGUGAAACGCGGAGUGGACGGCGUAAUGAGGACCAUGAAUACAGAGAAGCUGCUGAAGACUAUCCCCAUUAUUCAGAACCAGAUGGACGCCCUUCUCGAUUUCAAUGUCAAUGCCAACGAGCUGACUAAUGGAGUCAUCAAUGCAGCCUUCAUGCUGCUCUUCAAAGACUCCAUCCGGCUCUUUGCUGCUUAUAAUGAAGGCAUUAUCAACCUGCUCGAGAAAUACUUUGACAUGAAGAAGACUCAGUGCAAAGAAGGUCUGGACAUCUACAAGAAGUUCCUCACUCGAAUGACCCGGAUAUCAGAAUUCCUGAAAGUAGCAGAGCAGGUGGGAAUCGAUCGAGGAGACAUUCCAGACCUUUCACAGGCUCCUAGUAGCCUUCUCGAAGCUCUAGAGCAACACUUGGCCUCUUUAGAGGGCAAAAAGGUCAAAGAUUCCACUGCAGCCAGCAGGGCCAGCACUCUGUCCAAUGCUGUGUCAUCACUGGCCAGCACAGGGAUGUCUUUCACUAAAGUCGAUGAGCGAGAGAAGCAGGCAGCUCUCGAGGAGGAACAGGCUCGACUCAAAGCUCUCAAGGAACAAAGGCUUAAAGAGCUCUCCAAGAGGCCUUCAUUUGCCACGACUGAUACAUCACCAAUCUCCACCACUGGGGGCACUAUCAGCACAGCACCAGCCAUUGAUCUCUUCUCUACACCCAGCUGCUCCAAUGGUGCAGUGAAGAUGGAGAGCGACCUUUUUGACCUGCAGCCUACUUUCCAGCCCUCCAUGCAAUCAGGCACCACAGGGCUUCCAGCAGCGACAGCAUGGGCAGAUCCUUUCACGUCUACUGAAGCUGGAGAUGAUUCCAUGCCAAACCUUAACCCUUUCCUCUCAAAACUCGUUGUCGAUGCCACUCACUUACCUGUCGUGUCUUCAGACGGUGUUAGCUUUUCCUCUAGGACAUCUGGUCAUGAAGUGUUUGGUGAUCGUUACAAUCCCUUUAUUGACACAAACUCAUCCGUUUCAACCAAUUACAAACGCACAGUGCGGAUAGAGCACUCCAUCUCAGACUCCUUCUGUGGUCCAGUGUCCAUUGCCCAGCACCUCCCACAUCAGGCUCCCUUCCCCACUGAGCCCUCUUCUGUAGCAGGUCUAUUCAGAGGAUACUCAACACCACAGGCCCCUCCACAGCCAACAGCAGGGGGACUGCAAGUGGACUUUGAGUCCGUUUUUGGAGCCAAAGCCGCAGGCAGCAGUAGCCUCAAUUCUGAUGAUAUUACUGGGGGCAUCCUGAAACCGACUCUUGCCGGCUCUAACCAGCCGUCCAAUCAGCAGCCAGAGAAGUUGGUGUCAGAUGACCUUGACUCCUCCCUGGCCAACCUUGUGGGCAACCUCGGCAUUGGAAAUGGCACGAUGAAGAAUGAUAUCCACUGGAGCCAGCCAGGGGAGAAGAGGAUGACCGGCGGCACCAACUGGCAGCCCAAGGCGGCGCCAACUACGACCUGGAACCCUGUCUCCAUGCCUCCGUCGAUCAUGGCCUUCCCUGCCACCACACCCACAGGCAUGAUGGGAUAUGGCAUGCCUCAACAAAUGGGCUCUAUGGGGAUGAUGAAUCCGCCCACCAUGAUGUACUCCCAGCCGGUCAUGAGGCCACCCAACCCCUUUAGCUCUGUGUCUAGUGCUCAGCUUCUCCAGACUAAUCUCAUCCCUCCUUCAGUCUCUGUACUGACUCUGACUUCUCCUCUGGUCCUCCUACCUCCUGUAUUUCUCCCUGAAAUAGCCCUCUGCAGCCUCUAGUCCUUCCAGCCAGAGUCCUCUCCGAGCCCCUGGACAGGACCCGUUUGCACACCUCUCUCUCAAGGAUUUCUUGUAGAGCAUCUCUUUAGAUGCAGUUCAUGUAAUUUGAAGGAAGUGUCUCUUGGAAGAUGAAAGCACCCAAGCAGCAAAACUUUGUCCUCGUUGCAGUCUUCAGAGAAACAUUCACACAACGGUGCAGCGACUGUCAGAAACCAUGCUAACAAUGUCCAGAUGACGUUUGGCGAUAGCUCACACCCAUUAUUCUAUAACUUGUCCGAGACGUCGAGUGAUGCUGCUGUCUAACCCACCCACCCCUUAAGAGGACUCCUUAUCUGUUUUACAGUGUAAUCUGUAAAGAUAGUUUUGGGUGCUGAGAAACUUAAAUGUUGAUGUAUUUGGACAUGCUGUGGUUGGAUGUAAAGGGUUGAUGUUCAGAGGGGAGGGAGUGGAAGGGAAAGUAGAGCAGUCCUUCCCUUUCUUGAUCCAGUCAUCAGUCAUCUAUUCCCUACGGUUAUUUAACUGUCACUAAGUAGUGAUGCUAAUGACGUUUACACCUGUUUAGUUUUUGUCUUUUUUACCGUGUUUACAGUAGACAUUCCUUGUGUGUUGUUUGUAUUUAUUUAUGAUUAUUGGUUUAAGAUUGGGGGAAAAAAAUAAUAAUAAUGUAAAAACUACAGAACACGUGGGAGUGCUUCAGCAUUAAACAAGGAUCUCAGACUAUCAUUAAGAGAUAGAGUUAAAAAAAAAAUAAUAGCUAUUAUAUAAAUGACACCUAUUAAGCGGAAUGAUAGAGCACUAAAUAUUCUUUUUGUGUUAAGAAAUUUUCUACUAGGUGAAGGACUUCACAGUCCCCAUUGUAAUUAAAAUGCAGGGGUUAGAGUACAAGUCAGUUAACAGUAUAUAGUUGAUUCUGUGCCUAGGGUUUUACUUUGCAAUGGAUCCGUUUUUCUGACUAGUUGGAAAAAAACAAACAAAAAAACAAAAAAAUAACACACUUCAUCCAUGAAUCUGAGGCGUCGCACUGGGUGGUGGGCUCCAUUUGCUUUAAGCUUGGCAUGCCAUUGACUCACUGACUGUAAUCAAGGCUGCCUUUACUCUGAAUGUGAACGAGUUGUCUUCAUGUUGCACACAUCUUUCCACACUGCAGUUCCUCAGUGAGAGGGGCGGGGGUGGGAGGGCGGAUGGCGCGUCCAGUGGAGGGGAAAAGAGUCGCAGAUUAGUUGUAAAUUAAUUGUAUAAAAGAUCCCGAGGGCAGGGUGGCAGAGGAGACGCACUGUUGAUCGGUGCUCUGUGUAUAUAAAACCUGACUGUUCUUUGAACGCAAACGUUGAAAGAUGUAUGAAAUAUGAAAGCAAUUCAAUCAAAUUUGACUCUACCUAAGUUUGAUUCAGGAUAUUCUCUGCGUUUGUCUCCGCAGAUGUUUUCUUUAUGUAAUUAGAACGUGUAGCAGACAAUGACUGAAGUCUUUUCUUUUCUUUUUCAAAUAAAGAGCAGCUUCCACAAA